CAUUGGGAAAAACAAUCAAUUGUUUUUUCAUUCAUGGCUGUAUUUAUUCCCUUUUACUAUAUUGAUUAUCUUGCAUUUUUUUGUGGUGUUAACUCUUGUCUCAUUGAUCUCCUGUGGUUCUGCAGUCUGCUUAUUUUAAGGUGUACAUGCUAUCAAAUCAGAAGGGUUUACAAAGUUGGUGUUCCAUUGUUUUGAUAUAUGAAAUAAAAAUGAUAAAAAAAAAAGAAAGGGAAAGAUUCUAACUCUCAAUUGACCAACAAUACCUGUCCCUUUGGGUGGAAAUUUGUCUUUCACCCUGCUUCUGUGGUUUCAGAUAACCCAUGAAUUAGGAAAUCAUGUUGAACGACACCGUUUUACAUGGAUGGCGUGGGUAAUGGGAGUGGAAGCAUGUUGCUUGCAUGCUGGCAGGGACGUUUGCAUGUUACUUUUAGGGACCUUUGUAUGUUGCAUGGUGGAAGGGGCAAAGGGACCUUCAAACAGGAAGUAUUUGCCAAAUUACCUAAAAUUGUAACUAUGCUAUGAACAGGGAUUUUAGGAGCAAAAAUAAUGUUAUAAAAUGUAUUGUUUGUUUGAAACUCUUUCUCCACUUUAUUUGCAUUUCUUUCAUUUGCUCCUGCCAGUUGUAUUUUAUUUGUGAAAGAUAUGCUAUUGCAAUAUUGUAGUUGUCUUUACAAUUUUGUUGGUCUUUUAUCUUAGUUUAAGGCUCUCUUGAUUUUAAAACUGAUGGUUUUCAAAUUUGGAACAGGGUGCUAUGCUUUUUGGGAAG
Molecule: unclassified non-coding RNA, 766 nt
Filed under: Hevea brasiliensis (rubber tree)
Lineage: Eukaryota; Viridiplantae; Streptophyta; Magnoliopsida; Malpighiales; Euphorbiaceae
Source: RNAcentral